RNAcentral lists this long non-coding RNA (514 nucleotides) under Zea mays. Its description in RNAcentral is "drought-responsive long non-coding RNA". Lineage: Eukaryota; Viridiplantae; Streptophyta; Magnoliopsida; Poales; Poaceae. The record is from RNAcentral.
AAUUACUUUUGAUCUGGGGUCAUUCUCAGCUAACUCUGCAACUUUUCUCAUGUCACAGUUCGUAAAUAACUACUGCGGCAAAUUAGAUGAUAUCAUCUGGAAAUUUCCAACUGAGAAGGGAAAAUCAAGGAUACCCCGGUUAUCAAAGUCUCAUUCAUAAUCUAGUGCUGUGUGUUAUCAAUUACUAUGGACUUAAGUGGAUAUAUUUGCAGAGUGUAUCGCAAUUGGAUUAUGAUAUUCUAAGUGUAGCUCUUCGAGUAGUAUAUGUUUGUAUAUUCAGAGUCCCCAUGUACAAAGAGGCCGUUUUAAUUGAGGUUUCCGUACCUCGAUUCCCUGUGCAAAGUUUUCAUCGAUGUUUUAGACUGCACAUCUGUAUAUUUUGUCGAGAGCAUCAGUUUCUUAGACACCACCUAUGUAUCAUGUGUUUGUUGCCAACUAGUGUCAUUUUUGUAAGAUCUAACUUGUGAUAUACUUGGAUUGAGUGGUAUGGUUGAAAAGAGUGUGAAAGUCCAUU